GAUGAACGCUGGCGGCGUGCCUAAUACAUGCAAGUCGAGCGAACAGACGAGGAGCUUGCUCCUUUGAUGUUAGCGGCGGACGGGUGAGUAACACGUAGGUAACCUACCUAUAGGACUGGGAUAACUUCGGGAAACCGGAGCUAAUACCGGAUAAUAUUUUGAACCGCAUGGUUCGAUAGUGAAAGAUGGUCUUGCUAUCACUUAUAGAUGGACCUGCGCCGUAUUAGCUAGUUGGUAAGGUAACGGCUUACCAAGGCAACGAUACAUAGCCGACCUGAGAGGGUGAUCGGCCACACUGGAACUGAGACACGGUCCAGACUCCUACGGGAGGCAGCAGUAGGGAAUCUUCCGCAAUGGGCGAAAGCCUGACGGAGCAACGCCGCGUGAGUGAUGAAGGUCUUCGGAUCGUAAAACUCUGUUAUUAGGGAAGAACAAACGUGUAAGUAACUGUGCACGUCUUGACGGUACCUAAUCAGAAAGCCACGGCUAACUACGUG
This 497-nucleotide ribosomal RNA is filed under the name uncultured bacterium. Its description in RNAcentral is "partial 16S ribosomal RNA". It matches the Rfam family "Bacterial small subunit ribosomal RNA", at positions 28 to 507 of the family's 1533-position model. The record is from RNAcentral.